Molecule: transfer-messenger RNA, 183 nt
Filed under: Coprobacter fastidiosus
Lineage: Bacteria; Pseudomonadati; Bacteroidota; Bacteroidia; Bacteroidales; Barnesiellaceae
Description: partial transfer-messenger RNA
Rfam family: transfer-messenger RNA
About the family: Bacterial tmRNA, also known as 10Sa RNA or SsrA, is named for its dual tRNA and mRNA-like properties. Its role is to liberate the mRNA from a stalled ribosome. To accomplish this part of the tmRNA is used as a reading frame that ends in a translation stop signal.
Source: RNAcentral
UGGUGCAAUAAUAUCGGAAAUAGUGGGUAGCCGGCCUUGUGCCGCCCAUGAAAUUUUAAAGGCUAAGGUAUGAAUUGGUGGCUUCGGUCUUGUUCAUACCCGACAAUCAAAGCGAAGAUAAGCAUGUAGAAAGCUCAUUAGUUCCUCGUUUGGACGAGGGUUCGAAUCCCUCCAGCUCCACUU